AGGGCAGUGGCUCAAUUGGUAGAGCAUCGGUCUCCAAAACCGGCGGUUGGGGGUUCGAGUCCCUCCUGCCCUG
Molecule: transfer RNA, 73 nt
Filed under: Microthrixaceae bacterium
Lineage: Bacteria; Bacillati; Actinomycetota; Acidimicrobiia; Acidimicrobiales; Microthrixaceae
Also listed under: 3 other names
Description: tRNA-Trp
Rfam family: tRNA
About the family: Transfer RNA (tRNA) molecules are approximately 80 nucleotides in length. Their secondary structure includes four short double-helical elements and three loops (D, anti-codon, and T loops).
Source: RNAcentral